UCAGUAACACGUAGUCAACAUGCCCAGGGGACGUGGAUAACCUCGGGAAACUGAGGAUAAACCGCGAUAGGUCACUACUUCUGGAAUGGGUAAUGACCCAAACCUAUAUGGCCCCUGGAUUGGACUGCGNCCGAUCAGGCUGUUGGUGAGGUAAUGGCCCACCAAACCUGUAACCGGUACGGGCUCUGAGAGGAGGAGCCCGGAGAUGGGCACUGAGACAAGGGCCCAGGCCCUAUGGGGCGCAGCAGGCGCGAAACCUCUGCAAUAGGCGAAAGCUUGACAGGGUUACUCUGAGUGAUUUCCGUUAAGGAGAUCUUUUGGCACCUCUAAAAAUGGUGCAGAAUAAGGGGUGGGCAAGUCUGGUGCCAGC
Molecule: ribosomal RNA, 370 nt
Filed under: unidentified archaeon
Lineage: Archaea
Description: bacterial SSU rRNA
Rfam family: Archaeal small subunit ribosomal RNA
Source: RNAcentral